This 1231-nucleotide long non-coding RNA is filed under the name Bemisia tabaci. RNAcentral's name for it is "lncRNA ENSSSA2NGG012957". The record is from RNAcentral. Lineage: Eukaryota; Metazoa; Arthropoda; Insecta; Hemiptera; Aleyrodidae.
CAUCGAAAAUUAAAAUUGAGACAAGGCGUAGUUCUUUUCUGCAUUGAAAACUUCCUUUUCUAUCCUGGGAGACAUGAAACUCUUUUAAGUAUUUACUCUAAUUCUAUUAAUUGUUUAUUGACAUAAUUUAUUGAUAAUUUUACAUCGUUUGAAUGGUAAGUAUAAAAGGAUCUCAAUUUGAUGGUUACCUAAAACGUUGCAAUUUUACUACAUUACUGUGAUUGCAAUCCUUUUGUAACAUUCUUGAAUAUACUUGGACAGUAGGUAAGUAAGUAAACCUGGAUUAUCUAAUGAUUUUUUAAAAACUGCCGCAUGGGAUUCUCAUGGAAUUACAUCUGGGAUAUCAUAUUAUAUGAGAUUUUCAUAUCAGGUGAACAUGGGGGAUUAGAGAGCAAGGUAUUUUUACCCAUCUUGCCCCAAAAUGUUUUACCUAAUGAGCGAAAUUUUCCAAAAUGGCCCCGAUGAUGAUAAAUCAGCUAGAAAAUCGCUACUUAGGAAAAUCGCACUGUGAUUGAUAAGAAUUAGUUAAUAGUUCACAUUUUGGCGGUUUUUUUUUUGACCUUCGGGAAAGACCAAUAAGAGAGCAGGACAGUAUGGAGGGGAGCGACAGGUUGCUUUUUGUUUACAUCUAUGACGUCACGGGGGUCUCCAUUCCAGCAGGCGUUCAAAUCUUCUUCUUUUUCGCGAUUUAGCGUUGCGUUCUUCGAAAGUAUCAGCGUCUCUCGCAGCUGAAAUUCUUAUAACAUCUUCCGAAAGUUCUUAGUUUUGGUUUUUAGGGCGUAGGCGAAUAUCUUCGUCAACACACUAGAUCAUGGCAUCGACGUCAAGUGCUUUAUGGCCAGUUUCAACCCAAAGAAAAAGGAAAAUGUCUCAGGAUGACUCCGGAGAUGAGAGUGUCAUCAAGUACUACAUCACCCUUGAGAAGGAGGAAGAAGACGAUGCAUUAGCUAAGGAGGACACAGGGUCUGAAAGUAUAUACACUAUUCAAGACAAGUCCACCAUGAUAGUCUGUGAUACAGAUUCAGAUUGGUCUGAAUCAGACAUCGAGUACGAUGUCAAAAGCCUUGAUCAUAAUCCAAUUCAUCCAUUCAUGUGGGAUAAUAACUCCUCAAGUUCGGAAGAAUCGGUAAGUCCUACAGUUUCUUACUAGUAAAAAUUAUGCUCUCAAUCAAACAAAGUGUUACCAACUCAAUAAUUUUUAGCUUUUUCCUCCAUUUCUUGAAUUCUGUCA